UCUAUUUAUAGCAACACUUAGUCGGUUAAGACUGAGAUAUUUUCCAAAGGAAAAUAAUAAAGAAAUCAAUACGGAUAAUCAUUAUCAUCUUCUGAUAUUAUCUAACACUCCCCCUUGAUUAUCCAUCUUGUACUACGUAGUGCCUCGUUAAAAACCUAAUCAUGGAAAAACCCAAUGGGACAAAAACCAUGACAAGGAAAAAAGAGUACACUGUCGUAAUCUCCCCCUGAGAAUAGUGGCCAUAGCUUUCUCGUCACAGGUCAUGUAAAUGCCGCAUUCCGAUACCAUACACGUGUUUUCGGAAUGUUGUAAUAGGAAGAACCUUCGUAAACAAGUCUGUCGGAUAGUCGCUUGACCGUACAUAUUCGAUGUCCACCUUUUUAUUUUUCUCGAGCUCCCUUAUGUACCAGAAGAAUCUUGGAGGAAUAUGCUUCGUUCUGUCACUCUUAAUGUAACCUUAUUUGAGUUGAGCGACACAAGCCGAAUUAUCUUCAAAUGUUUUCGUCGGCUCUUUCUCGUUGACUAUUCCGCUUAAUUCUUAUAUGUGGUGACUCAUUGACCGAAGCCACACAUAUUCUCGACAUGCUUUGAAGAAGUCGAAACCUAGGAUCGUUUCUCGGAACGCUAUGUAAUCGCGGUUUCACCAAUUGUAAAACC
This 657-nucleotide long non-coding RNA is filed under the name Brassica napus (rape). Its description in RNAcentral is "long non-coding RNA (BNAP_LNC023288)". The record is from RNAcentral. Lineage: Eukaryota; Viridiplantae; Streptophyta; Magnoliopsida; Brassicales; Brassicaceae.